GAUAAUCGUAAAGCUGAUCAGUAGAGAGUUGCAAGGAAAGCCACUGCGGAAUUUUUUAUUUCCACUGAAGUUACGAAAUUUCAGACCAACGUUUUCUCUUCUAAGCGAUUUGGCUGGGUUCCGUUAGGUAGCGGUCAUGCGAAUGGGGUCACUACUCUGAGAGGCUUAACCACAGAGGCACAGACCGUCAUCGAAUGGGGUCAGUGGACUAGUAGCAUCGCCACUGCUAAGAACUACACUACGGUAUAGGGGCAUCCAUCGUAACAAUUCUUCAGGAAACGAGGUGGGAGAGUCAAAAUACGGCCAUCGCCUAGUAUUCAGUGCCUAAAGCUAUCCUCGCUACCUGCCCUUCCUACUUCAGCUUUGGUUCUGUACAGUGCCGCGCACGGCCCCACAGGCUAAGUUGUAUUCCAACGCGGACUAUGCGUUAGGAAAGAAAAAAGGAAAGAAAAAGAAAAGAAAACAAAACAAAAAAGAAAAGAAAAAAAAAUCAGCUUGAGAUGAUUUGGGAAAAGAUAAAAUACACACUGUCCGUUAGUUAACUUGGGAGGUGCUUUAUGUGCAGUUAUACCACUUGCCAACAAAACUUGCAAUAUCUAUGGGUAAAAAUUAUAUUCAAUAUCCACACUCCUUUAUUUUUACCAGGUGCAACUGCUUGACCCUCCCUCCUAAAGAGAUUCCACAUUUUCUGAUAAACUACUAAUUCCAAAGAUUUUUAGUUCCCAAUUUGUUUCAUCCCCAGAGUUUCUUUGCCGUCUGCUUGCUUUUGAGGAAAUGGGUAGUACCAACAUUUACUACGUGUCACAUAAUUAUGCAAAAAUACAAAAAUGUGUAGCCCUACUGAAUGAAGAUGGUUGCAUUAAGGAUCGGUGGUACGUUUGCACAUAAUCCAGUUCAAUGACGAUGGUCAAAGUACGAAACAAUACUUGUGAUAAUGUAUCCCUUGCAAAAUUGGACAUCAGAUUUUUGUUACCAACAUUCGUACAAAACGCAUUCUGCAGAUUACAGCGAUCAUAUUGUACUUCAUGCUCGUUUAGACGAUGUAGACACCUUGGCACAAACUAACCCUUUCCCGAAUAUAAUUUUCCAUAAACCACAGCUAGAUCGUAUGACGUGACAUGCUUUACUCCCAGGCAGACCGCUAUAGCUAAGCCGUUUAAAUUGUUUAAUAAUCACUUUCGAUCUGAUAAAAAAAAAUAAAGCUAGUAGCCAAUAAACAAUUCAAACAAGA
Daphnia magna is the source of this 1231-nucleotide long non-coding RNA. RefSeq lists it as uncharacterized. The transcript has 2 exons. The record is from RefSeq and is a predicted model, not a curated record. NCBI's taxonomy places the organism in Eukaryota, Metazoa, Arthropoda, Branchiopoda, Diplostraca, Daphniidae.